ACGGGAGGCAGCAGUGGGGAAUAUUGGGCAAUGGGCGAAAGCCUGACCCAGCGACGCCGCGUGAGGGAAGACGGUCUUCGGAUUGUAAACCUCUUUCAGCAGGGAAGACAAAAGGACGGUACCUGCAGAAGAAGCCACGGCUAACUACGUGCCAGCAGCCGCGGUAAUACGUAGGUGGCAAGCGUUAUCCGGAAUUACUGGGUGUAAAGGGUGUGUAGGCGGGACUGCAAGUCAGAUGUGAAAAUUAUGGGCUCAACCCAUAACCUGCGUCUGAAACUGUGGUUCUUGAGAGUGGGAGAGGUAAAUGGAAUUCCUGGUGUAGCGGUGAAAUGCGUAGAUAUCAGGAGGAACACCGGUGGCGAAGGCGAUUUACUGGACCACAACUGACGCUGAGACACGAAAGCGUGGGGAGCAAACAGGAUUAGAUACCCUGGUA
This 436-nucleotide ribosomal RNA is filed under the name uncultured Oscillospiraceae bacterium. RNAcentral's name for it is "partial 16S ribosomal RNA". It matches the Rfam family "Bacterial small subunit ribosomal RNA", at positions 341 to 792 of the family's 1533-position model. Lineage: Bacteria; Bacillati; Bacillota; Clostridia; Eubacteriales; Oscillospiraceae. The record is from RNAcentral.